This is a long non-coding RNA of Aricia agestis (brown argus), 477 nucleotides long. RefSeq lists it as uncharacterized. Lineage: Eukaryota; Metazoa; Arthropoda; Insecta; Lepidoptera; Lycaenidae. The record is from RefSeq and is a predicted model, not a curated record. The transcript is spliced from 3 exons.
CACUGGGAGGUGAUCAGAGCCGUAGGCCUCCUCGAGGACCUCCUGCUCGAAGUUCCCCGGGAGGCGGUGGAUGAUGGCGACGUCCAGUACAUCCGGUGAGUGGGUGGGGCACUCGGGGUAGUGGGUAGGCCCAUAAGUACCCCCACUACGCUGUACCCUGCGCGCUCAGCGUCGUCGAAGAGGCGGUUGCCGUCUCGGUUGGUGGUACGCGAGCCCCAGCCCGGGUGCUUGCAGUUGAGGUCCCCCGCGAUCACAGUCGGCUCUUCCGAAAGGAGCCGGUGGAUCUCGGAGGGGUCCAACCGCAUAUGCGGGGGCUUGUAGCACGCGUACUGGUGCGUGGCAGUGGAGCCAAGCAUAAGCUCGACGCCGAGCGCGUGGAAAGAGGCAAUCUCCGGAUCCGGGAGACGCUGGUGAAGCAGGCUACGUCUGACGAGGACAGCAAGGCCUCGACAGGAAACAGAUCCAUGUGGUAGCGCG